RNAcentral lists this ribosomal RNA (528 nucleotides) under Gadus morhua (Atlantic cod). RNAcentral's name for it is "SSU rRNA". It matches the Rfam family "Eukaryotic small subunit ribosomal RNA", at positions 67 to 572 of the family's 1831-position model. Lineage: Eukaryota; Metazoa; Chordata; Actinopteri; Gadiformes; Gadidae. The record is from RNAcentral.
ACACGGCUGGAAAAGUGAAACUGCGAAUGGCUCAUUAAAUCAGUUAUGGUUCCUUUGAUCGCUCACCCGCUACUUGGAUAACUGUGGCAAUUCUAGAGCUAAUACAUGCAAACGAGCGCUGACCUCCGGGGAUGCGUGCAUUUAUCAGACUUAAAACCCGCGCGGGGCGCUGCCGCGUGGUGGCCCCCGGCCUGUUUGGUGACUCUAGAUAACCUUGGGCCGAUCGCUCGCCCUCGCGGCGGCGACGACUCAUUCGAAUGUCUGCCCUAUCAACUUUCGAUGGUACUCUAUGUGCCUACCAUGGUGACCACGGGUAACGGGGAAUCAGGGUUCGAUUCCGGAGAGGGAGCCUGAGAAAUGGCUACCACAUCCAAGGAAGGCAGCAGGCGCGCAAAUUACCCAUUCACGACACGUGGAGGUAGUGACGAAAAAUAACAAUACAGGACUCUUUCGAGGCCCUGUAAUUGGAAUGAGUGUACUUUAAAUCCUUUGGCCAGUACCAAUUGGAGGGCAAGUCUGGUGCCAGCA